This 406-nucleotide ribosomal RNA is filed under the name uncultured bacterium. RNAcentral's name for it is "partial 16S ribosomal RNA". It matches the Rfam family "Bacterial small subunit ribosomal RNA", at positions 30 to 526 of the family's 1533-position model. The record is from RNAcentral.
AUUGAACGCUGGCGGCAGGCCUAACACAUGCACGUCGCACGAGUGGCGGACGGGUGAGUAAUGUCUGGGAAACUGCCUGAUGGAGGGGGAUAACUACUGGAAACGGUAGAUAAUACCGCAUACCAUCGGAUCUGCUCAGAUGGGAUUAGCUAGUAGGUGGGGUAACGGCUCCCCUAGGCGACGCUCCCUAGCUGGUCUGAGAGGAUGACCAGCCACACGUGAACUGAGACAGGGGCCAGACGCCUACGCGAGGCAGCAGUGGGGAAUAUUACACAAUGGGGGCAAGCCUGCUGGAGCCAUGCCGCGUGUAUGAAGAAGGCCUUCGGGUUGUAAAGUACUUUCAGCGGGGAGGCGUUACCCGCAGAAGAAGCACCGGCUAACUCCGGGCCAGCCGCCGCGGUAAUUC